Manis javanica (Malayan pangolin) is the source of this 3534-nucleotide long non-coding RNA. RefSeq lists it as uncharacterized. Lineage: Eukaryota; Metazoa; Chordata; Mammalia; Pholidota; Manidae. The record is from RefSeq and is a predicted model, not a curated record.
GGUCAGCAGAAGCCUGCAGCGGGGGGUGGGGGUGGGGGUCCUGGCUGAGGCUCGCUGGGCAGACCGAGAACCUCUCUGGAAGCCCCUCGGUCCUGGAGGCCAGCGCGGUGGCACAGGAGCAGAGGGCACAGGAGCAGAGCGCACUUGGCCCGUGCUCGGCAGGAAGUGGCUGGAGGCUAGGAGGGGUGGGGGCUGCAAGGAGAGCUGCAGCGCGGGCCUGGCAUAGGGAGGCCCUGACCUCCAAGGGAGCCGGCGCUCUGGCGCCAUCCUUGCCCUCUUCAGACCUCAGUUGACCUUGUCUGUGAAACGGAACCCAUGGCUGCUCUGCUGAUGCCAAGGAGACGUUCGAGAUUGCAGGAGGCUGUAAGGCAGUUUCUGAAUGUGAGGAGAGCCCUGAUGUGGCUUCUUAAAGCAGGAGCAUGAGGCGUCCCCACCAUGCAGUGGACAGUCUCUUGGGAGGUACUGCUAAGUGGCCAAAGCAAAGCCUGAAGUAACAACUUCCAGAGAUUCAGUAUCUGCCAGAAUCAGACCACAGGCCACUGUGUCCUCAGCUGCUGCCCGGGCCUGAGCACUAACUUCUCCCACCUGAUCAUUGCUGUGGCCUCCUCACCAGCCUCCCUCUUCUGCCUUCACCCUUCGACCAGCUGCAGGAUGAUAAUUUUAAAAUGUCCCUGCUCAGGUAUCACCGCAUCAGAGAGGCUUUCUGAGGCCAGCCUGACAAGUGGCCACCCAACCGCACACCCAGGCUCCUCUGCUGUUGGCUGUAUGGCAUUGCUGACACAUCAGCUAUAGGUUCCUGUUUGCUUGCUCUAAAGAGCCACACUGCUUUACAAGCAAGAGCCCAAGUAUGGUGGCCCACAGGCCUUCCUCAGCCCAGGUGCCACCCAAGGGCUAUGGCCCAGACACACUAAGGACUCCAGCCGACCUGUACACAGAGCACUGGUCUGGGAGGCACAUGGAGCCCACGGAGGCUGGCAGCCUGGAGAGCCAGGCCAUGUCAGCCUCUCCCCGAGCUGCAGCCUGAGUAGGCUCCAGUCCAGACAUUGCUCAGCCCUCACAUGACUCUGUUGGAGAAUCAAGGCCCCAGGAGAGGAAGUCCCACGAACCGGUCCUUUUCUGGUGCCCACUCCCAGCCGCAUCCGGGUGAUGAUGAGAUGGGCCCCAGGCUUGGAGUGGUAACAUCCCAUGCUGUUGGGGGCCAGGCCAUCACAACUGGCUGAACAUCUCCUGCAGGGAUUUUGGAACUUGGCAUGCAAAGAUGGCGUGGUGGACAGUGAGAUCAAAGGAGGCAUGGAGUGAGUAACCAGCCGCAGGAGACUACAUGCAUUUCCCAUGGACGAGUGCCUUGUGAGAGAAAGGACUCCCGGCUCUUGAGGAAAUGCUAAGCUAUUCUGAAUGUGAACUUACAAUUUUAGAGGCAAUUAACGGGAUUUGGUUGCAUGACUCAUGUUAUAAGCCCACUGGGGCUAAAACCUCAGAGCGCUUGGAGUGCCACACCCCAAGUCUGUUCUUGGCCCUGAAAGGAACAAGAGCUGAUGGACAGGGCUGCUCCUGGGGAAGCUCAGCAGCCUGAGAAUACUGGAGGUGGGUCAGAGGAUCCAAGCACAUUCCAGAACUUUCUGGCUGAGUGACCUACUUCUUGGCAAUCUUGGAGCAUCCUACAGUCUAGGGAAAGACAUUUUUAAUGAAAACGUUAUGAUAAUUGGAGCUGAGUGACACUAAUCUGGCAUGAGAAUUCCUGCCAUGAGUCCUGAAGCUCCGGCUGCCAAAUACCAGUGUUUUCAUUUGCUUGGUCAAUAUUAAAUGGUGACUUACUCCAGUCAAUAAGGAAGAUUAAAUAAUUUCAUGGGAUUGCUUUUUAUGACGUUAAAAUCCAUAUUUCGGAAUGGCUAAUAGGCUAACUAUACGCCUCACUAUUGUUAUUCAAUAAAAUAUUAACCUCAACUAUUCUGGAACAAAGGAGUUUUCAGUUACAGUUGAUCCUGGUAGGCCAAGGGACCUAUGCAAAACUAUUCCCAGCCACAGCCUUAGAGAAAGGAGUGCUUCAACCCUGAUUUCCCCCGGCUUUUCAGCCUUUCAAGAUGAGGGCCCUGUUUUAACUUUCAAACGUUUCUGGUCUCCUGGGUAAGAGCAGCUUAUUUUGUUCUCCCAUGUAACGUUUGAGAAUGGUGAGGUGGAACUGUCUCCAGACUCUGGCAGAGGUCCCCCAAGGCCCUCAAGCCAGGCCUGCCUCCCCAAGAAUGUGAUCAACUGUCCCAGUUUGCUGGGGUCUGAGGGGUUUGCCAGGGCAUGGGACUUUCAGAACUAAAACCAGAAAAGUCUGGGGCAAACUAGGACAAAUCACUUAGCCUAUCCCCUCGUCAUGCAGUCCCUACCAUAGCUGCCUCCUUCACUGAGGUCCACAAGGACCAGGAGGGGCAGGGUGGUCCCGCCAACAAGUCAGAGAAUGAUUUCUUCCACAUGGUGGUCCACCUGCUCCAGACUCUGUGCCAAGGGCCUUUCAUGCAUUAUCUCAUCUCACACUUCCCACAGAUGCUUUCCCCAUAGUUCCACAGAGGUUAAGUGACUUGUCCAGGGUUACCCAAGGCAAUAGAUAGGGAGGCAGGAGCGGGGACACAGGUCUACCUAAUGUUAAAAGCCCACGCUUCACCUGGGAACAUGAAUAUAAACCAAACAAUCAUUCUAUAGUCUCUUAUAUGACUUGUCUUUACAAAUUUUGCAUGAGAAACCCUAAAAUGCUUAACACUUUGUACUCUCAAGAUUUAGCUCUAAAAGGAUUUUAUUAGAAGUCUAUAUAUAUUUAUUAGAAGUCCAAAUAUAUAUUUUCUGAUAUAUAGUAAAGAUUAUAUAAAACUGUCACAUCCCUGUUUUAAAAUGUAUAUAAUAAUGAUACUGCAAAAUAGCACAAACCCUGUGGAGGGGAAUUUGGUAAUAUCUAGCAAAAUUACCUAAGUGUUUACUCCUUUACUCAGCAGUGCCACUUCUAGGAAUCUAUCUCAAAGAUAUGCUAGCAAAAAAAUACAAGUGACACAUCAAAAGACUAUUCCCUGAAACAUGAUUUAUAAUAGCAAAAGACUGGAAAUCCACAUUUCCAACAAUCAGGGACUGGUUUGACAAACUACAAUGUCAAUACAAUGGUGUUCUAUGCAGCUCUAGAAAGGAAGAAGGAUAAUUUCUGCAUAUAUUCUUGGUUGAAUCUACAGGGCAUAUAUUGUUAUAUGAAAAAGGCAAGGUUUAAAAUCAUGUGUAUAGUAUACUACCCUUAUUAUAUAAAGACUGGGGAAUAAAAAUAUCUGUAUUUAUAUUUGCCUAUAGUUCAAGACAAGGGCAACAACAAUUGAAGAGGAAAUGAAAAUGGUUUCCUGUAUACGGGGGAGUAUGAAGGAAUUAGGCAAAGAGAAUGGAAACUAAACUUAUCUGAAUUUAUCUUACUUAAUAGCUUUGACUUUGGAAUCAUGUAAUUGCUUUACAAAAUAAAGAAAAUUAAAUUUAAAAAUAUGUGUAAAAAUCAAACAUAAAAUAGAAUAAAUGAAC